ACGGGACUCAUCCGAGGCCCCGUAAUCGGAAUGAGUACAUUCUAAAGUCCUUAACAAGGAUCAAUUGGAGGGUAAGUCUGGUGCCAGCAGCCGCGGUAAAACCAGCUCCAAUAGCGUAUAUUAAAGUUGUUGCGGUUAAAAAGCUCGUAGUCGAAUUUGUGUCCCGCGCCGCUGGUUCAUCGCUCGCGGUGUUCAACUGGCGUGUCUCGCGGGACGUCCUGCCGGUGAGCUAUGUCAUCGUUUCGGCGGUGCGUAACUCUAUUCGUCUCCGUCUUGUACGGUUUCGAAUCCCAUCGCGGUGCUCUUUAUUGAGUGUCUUGGUGGGUCGGCACAUUUACUUUGAACAAAUUAGAGUGCUUAAAGCAGGCCAAUUUUGCCUGAAUAUUCUGUGCAUGGAAUAAUGGAAUAGGACCUCGGUUCUAUUUUGUUGGUUUUCGGAACCCCGAGGUAAUGAUUAAUAGGAACGGAUGGGGGCAUUCGUAUUGCGACGUUAGAGGUGAAAUUCUUGGAUCGUCGCAAGACGAACAUAAGCGAAAGCAUUUGCCAAAAACGCUUUCAUUGAUCAAGAACGAAAGUUAGAGGCUCGAAGGCGAUCAGAUACCGCCCUAGUUCUAACCAUAAACGAUGCCAGCUAGCGAUCCGCCGACGUUCCUCCGAUGACUCGGCGGGCAGCUUCCGGGAAACCAAAGCUUUUGGGUUCCGGGGGAAGUAUGGUUGCAAAGCUGAAACUUAAAGGAAUUGACGGAAGGGCACCACAAGGAGUGGAGCCUGCGGCUUAAUUUGACUCAACACAGUACAUCUAACCAGGUCAGGACACCGGAAGGAUUGACAGAUUGAGAGCUCUUUCUUGAU
This 852-nucleotide ribosomal RNA is filed under the name Dorylophila sp. JP-2017. Its description in RNAcentral is "bacterial SSU rRNA". It matches the Rfam family "Eukaryotic small subunit ribosomal RNA", at positions 485 to 1266 of the family's 1831-position model. Lineage: Eukaryota; Metazoa; Arthropoda; Insecta; Coleoptera; Staphylinidae. The record is from RNAcentral.